Molecule: small RNA, 319 nt
Filed under: Arabidopsis thaliana (thale cress)
Lineage: Eukaryota; Viridiplantae; Streptophyta; Magnoliopsida; Brassicales; Brassicaceae
Description: ATSL154580
Source: RNAcentral
AAACAACAAUAGAACCGGAGUUUAGAGUUCUAUAAAAAGGAAUACCCAAACAUCUCUGGUCUAGUGGUGGGAGAACCUUUGGUUUAUGGUAAAAUUCUUAGACCCGAAUUCGAUCCUCUUUAAAAACAAAAAUCACAUUUGUCUAAAAAGUCUAGUCGAAACUGUAGGCGGUCUAACUAUCCAGUAGCAUUAACUGAAAAUUAUUACAAAUUCGAAAUAGACAGAAUAGUGGUCUUUCGUGGAGAAGUCCAAUCUGAAGCACUUUGGUGCGUUUAUACCGGAACUUGCCGGAUUAACCGAUAUGGUUUAUCAAAAAAAA